GACGUCCUGUGGCCAGAUCGACAGGCAUCCUGGGCUGUGGAGCCCAUUUUUCUACUUAAAAUUCAGUCUUUUCCCUAUUCUGCUGCAAACUGCGAUUUGAGAUCAACAGGAAAAUAGGUCACUUUAUUCUCUUUUACCUUGAUUCUUUUUCAGUAACAGAGGAGUAUUCAAGCUGUAGUCGGCAUCCAUGCCAAAAUGGUGGCACGUGUAUAAAUGGAAGAACUAGCUUUACCUGUGCCUGCAGACAUCCUUUUACUGGUGACAACUGCACUAUUAAGCUUGUGGAAGAAAAUGCUUUAGCUCCAGAUUUUUCCAAAGGAUCUUACAGAUAUGCACCCAUGGUGGCAUUUUUUGCAUCUCAUACGUAUGGAAUGACUACACCUGGUCCUAUCCUGUUUAAUAACUUGGAUGUCAAUUAUGGAGCUUCAUAUACCCCAAGAACUGGAAAAUUUAGAAUUCCGUAUCUUGGAGUAUAUGUUUUCAAGUACACCAUCGAGUCAUUUAGUGCUCAUAUCUCUGGAUUUUUAGUGGUUGAUGGAAUAGACAAGCUUGCAUUUGAGUCUGAAAAUAUUAACGGUGAAAUACACUGUGAUAGGGUUUUAACUGGGGAUGCCUUAUUAGAAUUAAAUUAUGGGCAGGAAGUCUGGUUACGACUUGCAGAAGGAACAAUUCCAGCCAAGUUUCCCCCUGUUACUACAUUUAGCGGCUACUUAUUAUAUCGUACAUAAGUUAGUACGAGAAACAGACUAUCACCUUUAUUGAGAA
RNAcentral lists this small RNA (765 nucleotides) under Pongo abelii (Sumatran orangutan). RNAcentral's name for it is "retained intron". The record is from RNAcentral. Lineage: Eukaryota; Metazoa; Chordata; Mammalia; Primates; Hominidae.